RNAcentral lists this long non-coding RNA (202 nucleotides) under Elaeis guineensis (African oil palm). RNAcentral's name for it is "long non-coding RNA (EGUI_LNC066003)". Lineage: Eukaryota; Viridiplantae; Streptophyta; Magnoliopsida; Arecales; Arecaceae. The record is from RNAcentral.
AGGGGUACCGAAAGACUCAUUCAACAUUUAAAUGAUAUGCUCUGACUGUGCAUCUUCAAACUUACGGCUAAGUUCAUCACUCAUAGCUGCUCUCAUCACGCAACGUACAGUCACUCGAUCAUUGAGCCACUUCAUGUAAGUAUUUCUCACAGCAUGAGGAGCAUUGGCAGCAGGUUCUUCAAGUGCCUCAUUCGUAAGGAUG